This is a non-coding RNA of Triticum urartu, 126 nucleotides long. NCBI's taxonomy places the organism in Eukaryota, Viridiplantae, Streptophyta, Magnoliopsida, Poales, Poaceae. The record is from Rfam.
GUGGUACUCCCUCCGUCUGAAAAAGCUUGUCCCUCAAAUGGAUGUAUCUGGCACCAAAUUAGUGCUAGAUACAUCCAUUUGAGGGACAAGCUUGGGACGAGCUUUUUCGGACGGAGGGAGUAACUG